RNAcentral lists this long non-coding RNA (2515 nucleotides) under Homo sapiens (human). RNAcentral describes it as "HSALNT0338965". The record is from RNAcentral. Lineage: Eukaryota; Metazoa; Chordata; Mammalia; Primates; Hominidae.
GCUGAAGAGCCAUCAUUUCAGACUAUUAAGAUGCUUUCAGAUCUGUGACGGGCUUCACCAAUUAAUAAAAGCUACUUCUAUACCGAUACUCACCGCCUGCCCCCAGUGCGGUCCGAGCAGGGAAUUCCAUGGUGCACGCCCAUAAGAAGCGCUUUCUGCAUCUCACAGGACAACAGCCGUCUGCGCUCAGACCCCACCAUCUCCCUCAAACACAGUUUCCCAGCAGAGCCGAGGAGAUGACGGCGCGGGCAAACCCUUCCUGUCCAAACAAAGCUCACUACAUCCCUGGCUUGCUCUGCUCUCACCCCAUCCCUCCCUCGAGUCCUGUACACAAGUGAGGGGAGGAAGAACGGAUCAGGAAGCAGCAGGGUACAAAGAGCAGAAGAGAGCUUCGGUCUCAAGUCCACAGGGCACGCUGCGGCCAAGUCCUCCGACGAAAAGUAAAUUAAAGACAAGAGGAACAAAGAAGAAACAGGGAGAGAGGAGGAGCACACACACCGAGCGUCCACUGUGCCCGCCCCUCGCUCCCCCCACACCAUGCGGUCUGUGUGAUCGUCCCACAGAUGAAGACUAGAGGGGCUCGGGAAGCCAGGCCUCAGAGCCCGCAGGCGCCUCCAUGCACCCCUCCACCUCUGCACGCUGGCUGCCCAGCCCCCAGUCCCAGGCGUGGAAGCCUCCCAGGCGGCAAGGAGCUUUCGAGACCGUGGCUGCUCAGCCCUUGCUCUCUGCUCUAGUCAAGGAGCGUGCCUCGGAAUGAAUGAGGUACAGUCUUUCCCUAAAGUCACCGGAGAACAGAGAUCAAUGAAAAAGGAGGAAGGGAGGAAAGACAAAAGACUUGAGAGGAAGCAAAACGAAACCAGCUUAGAUUUGAUCCCGAUACGUGGGAAAUCAGGUGGGGAAAAGGGGCUACAACUCCAUGAUGACCACAAGUCCAGAGGGCUGUGCAAGCCAACACGGCUGGGGGCUGCAGAAAGCACCACAGCAACUGUCUGACGCCAGGUUGGGGCCAGCAGCCGCACGCUGGAAAACGCAACACACAGCCCACACAGCCCUGUGGGGGCAGCUAAGCCCAAAACCCUGGCGUGGCCCAGCAGGAGCAGGCCUGUGCGGAGUGGACCUGCACACACAGCAAACGCACACACCGCGAACGCACACACCGGAUGCUUCCCGCUGUGGAGACCCACAAGGCAAUGUCUUCUGAAGUUAAAAGGAUGCCAGGAUCCAGCAGUCCCACUCCUAAGUAUGUGCUCAAGGAAAAGUAAGAGUUUAGAUCAUACAAAGCCAACAUUUCCAGCAGCUUUACUCCAUUUCACCAAACCCAGAAACAAUACAGAUGUCCUUCAACCAGUGAACGAAUAAACAAGUCCCAGAGCAGCCGUGCCUGGAGCAUCACUCAGCAACGAAAAGCAGCGCUGCGAUUCACACAGCCACGCGGGGGCCCAGGUCCAUCGGACUGGAGCAGAAAAACCAGAGAAGAAGCCUGAGGAAGAAGCAGGACAGGCCACCAGACCCAACGGGGAGGAAGGCGUCUGGAUGUCCCAGAGUUAGUGAGAGGGCCUUAGCCAAGGAGGCAGGCACAUCACCAAGUACGAGGUGGUCUGCACCCUGCCUCUGCAGGCCUGGGCGGUGCUGCACAAAGUCCCAGGAGAUCCUGAAGUGUGCCCUUGGUAAAGAGGACAGUGGAGACAAAGAAGUAUUUGCAAUGAACAAGUGAAGGCCCACAGCAAACACCCAGCAUGGCACAGCACUGGGCACCACCCGAAGACAAGGAAACCCGACCUUGGGGAGCUCCCAAUGCAGCAGGAGAGGGAUCCAGGCUCUAACGCUGGGAACACAGCCUUUUCUAGAGAUAGGCCUGGCAGAGGCAGCCAGGCAGGCAGCCAAAGCGGGCAGGAAAGACCAGAAGCAGCUAAGAGUCUCCUGCAACAUCCACGUUCCCCAGGCCCCUCCUUCCUGAACAGUCUAGCGGGCCCUGGGGGCCACCGUCAGGGAGGAGCAAGGCUCUGCAGGGAAGCUGCACCCCAUUCCCAAGGGCACCUUCCCAAGCCAAGUCAACCCCUGUGCAAACUAACAGGCAGUCCAGCUCCACAAGCACUGCUGGUGCGGACGGCACAGAGGCUGGGAGAAACCCACAAACAGAGGCCACCCACAUGGUCGUGGUCUCUACAGACAGGCAGCUGCCCAUUCACAAGGAGGAGGCAUGAUAUGAUAUGGUCUGACUGUGUCCCCACCCAAAUCUCAUCUGAAACUGUAGUUUCCAUAAUGCCCACAUGUCAUGGGAGGUGAGUGAAUCACAGGGGCAGUUACCCCCAUACUGCUGCUCACGUGAUAGUGAGCUCUCGAGAGAGGUGACUGUUUUAUAAGGGACUUUUCCCCCUUUUGCUCGGCACUUCUCCUUCCUGUCACCAUGUAAAGAAGGACGUGUUUGCUUCCCCUUCCACUAUGAUUGUCAUUUUCCUGAGGCCUCCCCAGCCAUGAUAAACUGUGAGUUAAUUAAACCUUUUUCCUUUAUAAA